CCUGCCUCGUCCGCAGCUUCCCGGGCUUGCUGCACCCAUGGGUUUCCCCGGGCUCAAGGGGUCAGCCAGAAGAGGGGAGUUUGAAUGUUCCCAACACAAAGAAAAGAUAAAUAUUUAAGACUCCACAGAGGUGCAACCCAGGAGAGAAAGGAUGAAGGUCUACAUUCCUCAAAACUCAUCCAGCACAAUUCAUUGACCACACUGAAUAAGGACAUGAAUGACCUCCUGGAAAGCCCCUGGAUUUAGGGUGACUUUUACUGCUGCUCAGACCCUGAAUAACCACUGACGAGGUUUAAGAGGUACAUCUCUCAAUUCAGAGAACUGCACGGAGUGAAAUGAUGAAC
Molecule: long non-coding RNA, 344 nt
Organism: Pongo pygmaeus (Bornean orangutan)
Lineage: Eukaryota; Metazoa; Chordata; Mammalia; Primates; Hominidae
Exons: 4
Source: RefSeq, a predicted model, not a curated record